Long non-coding RNA from Tyto alba (common barn owl), 84 nucleotides. RefSeq lists it as uncharacterized. The record is from RefSeq and is a predicted model, not a curated record. NCBI's taxonomy places the organism in Eukaryota, Metazoa, Chordata, Aves, Strigiformes, Tytonidae. The transcript has 3 exons.
AUGAACGUCCAGAUGUACUUUGAAGAUGACAUGCAGAGGAACAGGCAGCUCUCUUUUGGAUGAAUAAACAGGCAUAGUUUGACA